RNAcentral lists this ribosomal RNA (253 nucleotides) under uncultured bacterium. RNAcentral describes it as "partial 16S ribosomal RNA". It matches the Rfam family "Bacterial small subunit ribosomal RNA", at positions 524 to 776 of the family's 1533-position model. RNAcentral also lists the same sequence under 1 other name. The record is from RNAcentral.
UACAGAGGUCCCAAGCGUUGUUCGGAUUCACUGGGCGUAAAGGGUGCGUAGGUGGUCGGGUAAGUCUGUUGUGAAAUCUCCGAGCUUAACUCGGAAAUGGCAGUGGAUACUAUCCGGCUUGAGGAAUGGAGGGGAGACUGGAAUACUUGGUGUAGCAGUGAAAUGCGUAGAUAUCAAGUGGAACACCAGUGGCGAAGGCGAGUCUCUGGACAUUUCCUGACGCUGAGGCACGAAAGCCAGGGGAGCAAACGGG